RNAcentral lists this small RNA (134 nucleotides) under Salmonella enterica subsp. enterica serovar Agona. Its description in RNAcentral is "partial RtT sRNA". It matches the Rfam family "RtT RNA", at positions 31 to 130 of the family's 130-position model. Rfam says of the family: This family represents a bacterial cis-regulatory element known as RtT RNA. The exact function of RtT is unknown although it is thought that it may be involved in changing the cellular response in relation to amino acid starvation. Lineage: Bacteria; Pseudomonadati; Pseudomonadota; Gammaproteobacteria; Enterobacterales; Enterobacteriaceae. The record is from RNAcentral.
AUUGGUCGCAGGUUCGAAUCCUGCACGACCCACCAAUUUAACAUCAAACUCAGAUGUUGAGCGUGAAGGAUAACGUUGCGUCAGCAACGGCCCGAAGGGCGAGGCGAAGCCGAGUCAUCCUGCACGACCCACCA